GGGGCUUUAAUUCAACGGUAGAAUAUCCGUUUUGCAUACGGAAGAUUCGGGUUCAAGUCCCGAUCGCUCCA
Molecule: transfer RNA, 71 nt
Organism: Babjeviella inositovora NRRL Y-12698
Lineage: Eukaryota; Fungi; Ascomycota; Pichiomycetes; Serinales
Rfam family: tRNA
About the family: Transfer RNA (tRNA) molecules are approximately 80 nucleotides in length. Their secondary structure includes four short double-helical elements and three loops (D, anti-codon, and T loops).
Source: Rfam